This is a long non-coding RNA of Thunnus maccoyii (southern bluefin tuna), 616 nucleotides long. RefSeq lists it as uncharacterized. NCBI's taxonomy places the organism in Eukaryota, Metazoa, Chordata, Actinopteri, Scombriformes, Scombridae. The transcript is spliced from 4 exons. The record is from RefSeq and is a predicted model, not a curated record.
GCUGGGAAGUGUGAAACAGACACGAACCAGAGAGACAGACGCCUCGUUUGUUUAUACUGAAGCAGAAGAGCAGAGUGUGUAGAGAGAGAGAGAGAGAGAGAGAGAGAGAGAGAGAGAGAAAUGAGAGUAACAAGGAUGAGUAAGAAGCCAAAGACAGAAAACUCGGGAUGAUGAAGAGAAAAGAAAGAAGGAUCUGUUGAAACUCUUCUCUACACAGCAGCAGUUGAACUAUUAAAGUGACAUUUUCAUCGAUUCGGUUCGUUCCUGUUCUGCAGGAGCCAACGGCGCAGCAGCAGCAGCAGCAGCAGCAGUGAGGUGAGGCGGUGAGUGCUACUGUUGCCGUGCCGACCUGAGAGCAUCUUCUGCAGUUUCUCACCCUGUAUAAACAUCCUCCUGUGGUUCAUUCAGAGCAAGGUCCUGUCAUUAUGACACACUGCAGGCAGGCGCACACACACACACGCACACACACACACACACACACACAUAAAAGAAAUUCUACAUGUCAAGUGUGUUUGUUCUGGUGUUAGAACGACGCGACCAGCAAAGCAGCAACCACAUCUGACUGUUGAAGCCAAACCUGACGUGCUUUAAGCUGUAGGCUUCAAGUCCAACUGAA